Molecule: transfer RNA, 73 nt
Filed under: Deltaproteobacteria bacterium
Lineage: Bacteria; Pseudomonadati; Myxococcota; Myxococcia
Also listed under: 1 other name
Description: tRNA-Lys
Rfam family: tRNA
About the family: Transfer RNA (tRNA) molecules are approximately 80 nucleotides in length. Their secondary structure includes four short double-helical elements and three loops (D, anti-codon, and T loops).
Source: RNAcentral
GGGCCGAUAGCUCAGUUGGUAGAGCACCGGACUUUUAAUCCGAGGGUCGUGGGUUCGACUCCCGCUCGGCUCA